AUGGUAAAUGCAUGCAUCAAGGAUGAAUUUGAUGCAUACGUGUGUAAUGCCGAUCUUGAAGACUUCAUGCAGGAUAAGUGUCCUCAGUACUACUAUUUGACUGAUUCAUUCGUGAGAAGAUUUAAAUUUUCAUCUUCGCGUAAUUCUCAAAGUGUCCUGUUUGAUAUUUAUGAUCAGUCAUAUACCAUGGACCUAGAAGAUUUUACUACUGCUUGCAAACUCCCACAGUGGGGUAGUGUUAAUGUACCCCGUAAAUCUGAAUAUAAAGACUUUCUUGCUAGUAUCACUGUGGGAGAAUCUAGAGAUAUAGCGCAAGCUACCAUAGGGAGCAUUCAUUUUCCUGCUAUACAUUGUUUUGCUCUCUUCAUUGGUAGAUACAUUAACGGUAAGGAUGAAGCAUGUCACAUGUGUGUUCUUGAUCGUUGUGUUCUCAAGAGUGUGGUAUUAGGUAAUAAAGAAUACAACUUGGGGGCAAUUGUUGCACGUAGGUUGCAUAAUAAUGGUUUAUCUGGAGAUUUGUUUGGAGGGAUUUAUGCGACCCGUGUUGCUAAUUAUCUUGGUAUACCUCCACGUGAGGGUGAUAGCGAGUUGCUUCCCGCUUAUUUAGAUUAUAAUGCUAUGGUCAGUCAUCAUUUUCUUGAGAGGAAUGAACAAUUCCUCCAGUAUCGACUAAUCUUUGACAGACGUCGCGCUGUCCAUGUCACUCUCCCUGCUCCUUCCCUUUUUGAUUACCAGGAAAAAAGAAGAUAUGUUGUAACCAGGGAGGAGGCAACCGAAUAUGAAAGGAGAAUGGAGGCAUCUCGCCACCAUGCCGUAGCUCAGGAGGCAUUGGCUGCUGCAUCUCAGUAUGAUCCCAGUUAUAACUUUGGAUAUCAGUCAGGCUAUCAAUAG
Molecule: ribosomal RNA, 891 nt
Filed under: Triticum aestivum (bread wheat)
Lineage: Eukaryota; Viridiplantae; Streptophyta; Magnoliopsida; Poales; Poaceae
Description: partial small subunit ribosomal RNA
Source: RNAcentral